RNAcentral lists this ribosomal RNA (413 nucleotides) under uncultured bacterium. RNAcentral's name for it is "bacterial SSU rRNA". It matches the Rfam family "Bacterial small subunit ribosomal RNA", at positions 945 to 1359 of the family's 1533-position model. The record is from RNAcentral.
UUUAAUUCGAUGCAACGCGAAGAACCUUACCAAGGCUUGACAUCCUCGGAAUCCUCUUGAAAGGGGGGAGUGCCUUCGGGAACCGAGAGACAGGUGGUGCAUGGCUGUCGUCAGCUCGUGUCGUGAGAUGUUGGGUUAAGUCCCGCAACGAGCGCAACCCACGUUUUUAGUUGCCAGCAUUCAGUUGGGCACUCUAGAGAGACUGCCGGUGACAAACCGGAGGAAGGUGUGGAUGACGUCAAGUCAGCAUGCCCCAUACGCCUUGGGCUACACACGUACUACAAUGCUACGGACAAAGGGCAGCCAGCCAGCGAUGGUGAGCCAAUCCCAUAAACCGUAGCUCAGUUCAGAUUGCAGGCUGCAACUCGCCUGCAUGAAGGCGGAAUCGCUAGUAAUCGCAGGUCAGCAUACUG